GACGAACGCUGGCGGCGUGCUUAACACAUGCAAGUCGAACGGGCCCGCCCCUGUUUUUGGGGGUGGGUUGAGUGGCGAACGGGUGAGUAUCACGUGAGUAACCUGCCCCCUGCUCCUGGAUAACUGCUUUAAAGGGCGGCUAAUACGGGGUGUGCUGGCUGGUCCGCAUGGGCCUGGUCGGGAUAGUUUUAUUUUCGGGGGUUUCGGUGGGGGUUGGGGUCGCGGCCUAUCCGCUUAGUGGUGGGGUGAUGGGCCACCACAGCGGUGUCUGGUAGCCGGCCUGAGAGGGUGGGCGGCCACACUGGGACUGAGACACGGCCCAGCCACCGGGGGGAGGCAGCAGUGUGGGGUAUUGCACAAUGGGCGGUAGCCUGAUGAAGCGACGUCGCGUGAGGGAUGUAGGCCUUCGGGUUGUGAUCCUCUUUCUCCGGUGGUGAAGGCCCUGUCCGUUGCGGCGGGGUUGACGGUAGCCGGGUAUGAAGCUCCGGCUAACUACGUG
Molecule: ribosomal RNA, 499 nt
Filed under: uncultured bacterium
Lineage: Bacteria
Description: partial 16S ribosomal RNA
Rfam family: Bacterial small subunit ribosomal RNA
Source: RNAcentral